UACGUAGGGGGCGAGCGUUGUCUGAAUUUACUGGGCGUAAAGCGCGCGUAGGCGGUCAUUUAAGUCCGGGGUGAAAGGUUCAGCGCUCAACGCGAACAGUGCCUCGGAUACUGGGUGACUUGAGUCUGGCAGGGGGUGGCGGAAUUCCUGGUGUAGCGGUGAAAUGCGUAGAUAUCAGGAGGAACACCGGUGGCGAAGGCGGCCACCUGGGCUAAGACUGACGCUGAGGUGCGAAAGCGUGGGGAGCGAACGGGAUUAGAUACCCCGGUAGUCCACGCCGUAAACGAUGAGUGCUAGGUGUCGGGGGUAUCGACCCCCCCGGUGCCGUCGCCAACGCAUUAAGCACUCCGCCUGGGGAGUACGGCCGCAAGGUUGAA
This 377-nucleotide ribosomal RNA is filed under the name uncultured bacterium. RNAcentral's name for it is "bacterial SSU rRNA". It matches the Rfam family "Bacterial small subunit ribosomal RNA", at positions 524 to 898 of the family's 1533-position model. The record is from RNAcentral.